RNAcentral lists this ribosomal RNA (484 nucleotides) under uncultured bacterium. Its description in RNAcentral is "partial 16S ribosomal RNA". It matches the Rfam family "Bacterial small subunit ribosomal RNA", at positions 30 to 507 of the family's 1533-position model. The record is from RNAcentral.
AUUGAACGCUAGCGGGGUGCUUUACACAUGCAAGUCGAACGGCAGCGCGGACUUCGGUCUGGCGGCGAGUGGCGAACGGGUGAGUAAUGUAUCGGAACGUGCCCAGUAGCGGGGGAUAACUACGCGAAAGCGUAGCUAAUACCGCAUACGCCCUACGGGGGAAAGCAGGGGAUCGUAAGACCUUGCACUAUUGGAGCGGCCGAUAUCGGAUUAGCUAGUUGGUGAGGUAACGGCUCACCAGGGCGACGAUCCGUAGCUGGUUUGAGAGGACGACCAGCCACACUGGGACUGAGACACGGCCCAGACUCCUACGGGAGGCAGCAGUGGGGAAUUUUGGACAAUGGGGGCAACCCUGAUCCAGCCAUCCCGCGUGUGCGAUGAAGGCCUUCGGGUUGUAAAGCACUUUUGGCAGGAAAGAAACGUCGCGGGCUAAUACCCCGUGGAACUGACGGUACCUGCAGAAUAAGCACCGGCUAACUACGUG